CGAGGGGCAGCAUAAUGGAUAGCAAUAUCUAUGGUGGCGACCGGCGCACGGGUGCGUAACGCGUAUGCAACCUACCUUUAACAGGGGGAUAACACUGAGAAAUUGGUACUAAUACCCCAUAAUAUCAUAGAAGGCAUCUUUUAUGGUUGAAAAUUCCGAUGGUUAGAGAUGGGCAUGCGUUGUAUUAGCUAGUUGGUGGGGUAACGGCUCACCAAGGCGACGAUACAUAGGGGGACUGAGAGGUUAACCCCCCACACUGGUACUGAGACACGGACCAGACUCCUACGGGAGGCAGCAGUGAGGAAUAUUGGUCAAUGGACGCAAGUCUGAACCAGCCAUGCCGCGUGCAGGAUGACGGCUCUAUGAGUUGUAAACUGCUUUUGUACGAGGGUAAACGCA
Molecule: ribosomal RNA, 399 nt
Filed under: uncultured bacterium
Lineage: Bacteria
Description: bacterial SSU rRNA
Rfam family: Bacterial small subunit ribosomal RNA
Source: RNAcentral